AUGUACAUCCACCAAAAGCAAACCCACCGGUCGGUCGGAUCCGACCUCCGAGCCCCGCCAGCACCAACUAUCCCGCGAAGAGAACCCCACUGCCGCGGCCGGAAAUCUCACCUGUCAGUUCAUCUACCUAGCUCGCCGUCUCGUCGCCAGCCACCCUCCUCUCGCCGGGGCAGUGAUCCCGCCAUGGCCUCCUGGCUCAAGGUCGCCGAAGACUUGCUCGAAGUGGUCGACCGGAGGGCGAAAAGCGUGGCCACCGAGCUGUCCGAUGAGCAGACUGCUCCUCAGCCUUCAGGACCGAAUGGCCAAGAAGGGCAAGCAAAGAGGGGAAAGCCCAGGGAGAAGGGUCCAUUGAAGCUCACUACUGGGGAUGCAGGUAACAGGACAGCAGCUCAGAAGGAGAGGAAAAACAGGCAACCGCCGCGUGAGAGGAUUAAGAUUGAGAAGAUCAAACCUUCGGCACGUGCAGAUUCAUCAAAUGAUGAUGCUAUUGCUAUUCCCAGUGCCAGUGAACCUGAAGUCACUUCAGUUGAUGUUAAGGGAGCGAAUGCUGAGAGCACGUCGGACAAAGUGGAGAACGCCACUGUUGACCUUAAAAAUGAUACAGCUGCUAAUGCUAUCGAUAAUGCGGUUGAAGUCCAGUCGAUGGAGAAAACACCUGAGGAUACAGGUCCCAUCACGGAUCAUGUUGCAGGUUCUGGACAUUUGGAGAGUGCCUCUGGAAGCUCUGCUCCUUCAGUUCCAGACGAAAAAAAUGAGCCAAGCAGUAGUAACCAGUCUACUGAGAUUGGUUUAGCAGUCAGUUUGGAGGAUAAAGACACAGCUGUGGCUGUUAUCCAGGAGAGAACUAUCUCUGGAGUACCCGAUACACAAGGUUCUGGCAUAUCCCAAGAUUUGAAGAAAGAUAAUUUGUCAGAUCCACCAGAAAUCGCACAAAAUCAACAGGAACAUAAGUCUGAUUCAGUUCCUCUGAAGGAUCAAGACCAACUUGAGGAGGCUCAGGGAUUACUAAAAAGCGCUGCAAAAACUGGCCAGUCAAAAGAAGCUAGAUUAGCUCGGGUCUGUGCUGGACUUUCAUCCCGUCUCCAAGAAUAUAAAUCCGAGAAUGCACAGCUAGAAGAGCUUCUUGUUCAGGAGAGAGAGAAAUGUAGCUCACAUGAAGCUCAUAUAAAGCAACUACAGCAAGAACUAUCGGUGUCCAGAGUACAAGGUUCACGAGUUGAAUCUAACAUGGUUGAUGCUUUGGCUGCAAAAAACACUGAGAUUGAAUCUCUAGCUAAAUCGUUGGACUCUUGGAAGAAAAAAGCAGCAGCUUCAGAAGAAAUGCUGGCAUCUUUACAGGAAGAUAUGGAUGGCCUUAAGAGGAACCGUGAGCUUACUGAAACCAGGAUCAUCCAGGCUCUACGAGAGGAACUUUCAACCGUGGAGCGGAGGGCUGAAGAGGAGCGUAUUGCACAUAACGCUACAAAGAUGGCAGCUGUUGACAGAGAAGUAGAAUUGGAGCAUCGGGCUGUCGAGGCAUCAAAUGCUCUUGCUAGAAUCCAGAGAGCUGCUGAUCAAAGCUCAUCGAGAGCAAUGGAAUUUGCGCACAAAGUAGCUGUACUUGAGGUUGAAUGUGCAUCACUGCACCAAGAACUACAGGAAAUGGAAGCUCGUAAUCGCCGUGCUCAGAAAAAGCCUUCUGAAGAUGCUAAUCAAGCUCUUCAGAUACAGGCAUGGCAGGAGGAAGUUGAGCGAGCACGGCAAAGCCAAAGAGAGGCAGAAAGCAAGAUAUUAUCCUUGGAGGCUGAGUUGCAGAAGAUGAGAGUUGAAAUGGCUGGAAUGAGACGAGACGCAGAGCAUUAUUCUAGACAGGAGCAUGUUGAGCUAGAGAAAAGAUACCGUGAGCUCACUGAUUUGCUGUACCACAAGCAAACACAAUUAGAAUCCAUGGCCAGUGAAAAAGGUGCAUUAGAGUUCCAACUGGAGAAAUCAUUGAAGCAAUUCCAUGAAGUGCAGGUAGAAGCAGAAAGGAGUAGGGUUUCUCGCAGAUCAGCAUCAUCAUGGGAAGAAGAUACUGAUAUCAAUGCGCUAGAGCCUCUUCCUCUGCAUCAUCGACACAUGGCAACGGCAAAUCAUCAGUUACAAAAAGCUGCGAAGUUUUUAGAUUCAGGGGCUGUGAGGGCGACAAGAUUUUUGUGGCGGCAUCCUGUUGCCCGAGUCAGCCUUCUAUUCUAUCUGGUGUUUGUGCAUUUGUUCUUGAUGUACUUGAUGCAGCGCCUGCAGGACUUUGCAGCGGAAGAGACUGUGAAAUCGUCCAUGGGGGACCUGGCCAACGUGAAGUUGCCAUAG
RNAcentral lists this ribosomal RNA (2328 nucleotides) under Triticum aestivum (bread wheat). Its description in RNAcentral is "partial small subunit ribosomal RNA". The record is from RNAcentral. Lineage: Eukaryota; Viridiplantae; Streptophyta; Magnoliopsida; Poales; Poaceae.